GCGGUAAUACGAAGGGGGCUAGCGUUGUUCGGAUUUACUGGGCGUAAAGCGCAUGUAGGCGGAUAUUUAAGUCAGAGGUGAAAUCCCAGGGCUCAACCCUGGAACUGCCUUUGAUACUGGGUAUCUUGAGUAUGGAAGAGGUGAGUGGAAUUCCGAGUGUAGAGGUAAAAUUCGUAGAUAUUCGGAGGAACACCAGUGGCGAAGGCGGCUCACUGGUCCAUUACUGACGCUGAGGUGCGAAAGCGUGGGGAGCAAACAGGAUU
Molecule: ribosomal RNA, 263 nt
Filed under: Bartonella melophagi
Lineage: Bacteria; Pseudomonadati; Pseudomonadota; Alphaproteobacteria; Hyphomicrobiales; Bartonellaceae
Description: partial 16S ribosomal RNA
Rfam family: Bacterial small subunit ribosomal RNA
Source: RNAcentral